CCAAUAGCGUAUAUUAAAGUUGUUGCAGUUAAAAAGCUCGUAGUUGAAUUUUAGGCCUGACCGGACGGUCCGUCUCUGGCGAGUACUGUUCUGCUGUCGGGUCUAUCCUUCUGGUGAGCCGGUAUGCCCUUUAUUGGGUGUGUCGGGGAACCAGGACCAGUACCUUGAAAAAAUUAGAGUGUUUAAAGCGGGCUUUUGCGUGAAUAGAUUAGCAUGGAAUAAUAGAAUAGGACGUUGGUUCUAUUUUGUUGGUCUAGGACCACCGUAAUGAUUAAUAGGGAUAGUUGGGGGCAUUAGUAUUCAAUUGUCAGAGGUGAAAUUCUUGGAUUUAUUGAAGACUAACUACUGCGAAAGCAUUUGCCAAGGACGUUUUCAUUAAUCAAGAACGAAAGUUAGGGGAUCGAAGACGAUCAGAUACCGUCGUAGUCUUAACCAUAAACUAUGCCGACUAGGAAUCGGGCGACGUUAUUUUCAUGACUCGCUCGGCGCCUUAUG
This 495-nucleotide ribosomal RNA is filed under the name uncultured Glomeromycotina. RNAcentral describes it as "partial small subunit ribosomal RNA". It matches the Rfam family "Eukaryotic small subunit ribosomal RNA", at positions 591 to 1092 of the family's 1831-position model. Lineage: Eukaryota; Fungi; Glomeromycota. The record is from RNAcentral.